This 778-nucleotide non-coding RNA is filed under the name Botyodes diniasalis. The record is from RNAcentral. Lineage: Eukaryota; Metazoa; Arthropoda; Insecta; Lepidoptera; Crambidae.
AAAUAAAUUUUUUAUGGUUUAAAAAUUUUAUUAUAAAUUUAUUUUGCAUAUAAAUUUUAGUGUUAAUUAAUAAUUAUUUUAAAAAUAAUUAUUGAUUUUUGUAGUAAUUAAUAUUAAAAAUUUAAGAAAUUAAGAUUUAGUAAUAUUUUAAUUAAUAACAAAUUUUGUGCCAGCAGUUGCGGUUAAACAAAAGUUAAAUUAAAUUUUAUUAGUAAUUAAUUAAUAUUUUUUAAAAUAAAUUAAAUAUUAAAUUAUUAAGUGAAAUUUUAAUUUAAUUAAAUUUAUUUUUAUUAAUAUGAUUUAAUAAAUUUUAUUUAUAAACUAGGAUUAGAUACCCUAUUAUUAAAAAAUUAAAUUAAUAAUACUAAAAUAGUAUGUAAUUAUUUAUUGAAACUUAAAUAAUUUGGCGGUAUUUUAGUUCAUUUAGAGGAAUCUGUUUAAUAAUUGAUAAUCCACGAAUAAAUUUACUUAAUUUAAUAUUUUGUAUAUCGUUGUUAUAAAAAUAUUUUUAAAUAAAAAUAAUAUUUAAAAAUUUAAAUAAAAAAUUAAAUCAGAUCAAGAUGCAGAUUAUAAUUAAGAAUAUAAUGGAUUACAAUAAAUUUAUUUAUUACUAAUAUUAAAUUGUAAAAUUUAAUUGAGGGUGGAUUUAAAUGUAAUUUUAAUUAAUUUUUUAAAAUGAUUAAAAAUUAAAAUAUGUACAUAUUGCCCGUCGCUUUCAUUAAUAAAUUGGAAUAAGUCGUAACAAAGUAGAGGUACUGGAAAGUGUUUCUAGAAAUAA